RNAcentral lists this ribosomal RNA (1853 nucleotides) under Listeria monocytogenes. RNAcentral describes it as "partial 23S ribosomal RNA". It matches the Rfam family "Bacterial large subunit ribosomal RNA", at positions 360 to 2211 of the family's 2925-position model. The record is from RNAcentral. Lineage: Bacteria; Bacillati; Bacillota; Bacilli; Caryophanales; Listeriaceae.
GACGGUAACAGCCCGGUAGUUGAAAUGGCUUUCCCUCCAGAGUGGAUCCUGAGUACGGCGGAACACGUGAAAUUCCGUCGGAAUCCGGGAGGACCAUCUCCCAAGGCUAAAUACUCCCUAGUGACCGAUAGUGAACCAGUACCGUGAGGGAAAGGUGAAAAGCACCCCGGAAGGGGAGUGAAACAGUUCCUGAAACCGUGUGCCUACAAGUAGUUAGAGCCCGUUAAUGGGUGAUAGCGUGCCUUUUGUAGAAUGAACCGGCGAGUUACGAUUUGUUGCAAGGUUAAGCGGAAAAAGCGGAGCCGUAGCGAAAGCGAGUCUGAAUAGGGCGCAUAAGUAACAGGUCGUAGACCCGAAACCAGGUGAUCUACCCAUGUCCAGGAUGAAGGUAAGGUAAUACUUACUGGAGGUCCGAACCCACGCACGUUGAAAAGUGCGGGGAUGAGGUGUGGGUAGCGGAGAAAUUCCAAUCGAACUUGGAGAUAGCUGGUUCUCUCCGAAAUAGCUUUAGGGCUAGCCUCGAGGUAAAGAGUCAUGGAGGUAGAGCACUGUUUGGACUAGGGGCCCUUCUCGGGUUACCGAAUUCAGAUAAACUCCGAAUGCCAUGUACUUAUACUCGGGAGUCAGACUGCGAGUGAUAAGAUCCGUAGUCGAAAGGGAAACAGCCCAGACCACCAGUUAAGGUCCCCAAAUAUAUGUUAAGUGGAAAAGGAUGUGGGGUUGCUUAGACAACCAGGAUGUUGGCUUAGAAGCAGCCACCAUUGAAAGAGUGCGUAAUAGCUCACUGGUCGAGUGACCCCGCGCCGAAAAUGUACCGGGGCUAAACAUAUUACCGAAACUGUGGAUGAACCUCUUUAGAGGUUCGUGGUAGGAGAGCGUUCUAAGGGCGGUGAAGUCAGACCGGAAGGACUGGUGGAGCGCUUAGAAGUGAGAAUGCCGGUAUGAGUAGCGAAAGAAGGGUGAGAAUCCCUUCCACCGAAUAUCUAAGGUUUCCUGAGGAAGGCUCGUCCGCUCAGGGUUAGUCGGGACCUAAGCCGAGGCCGAUAGGCGUAGGCGAUGGACAACAGGUAGAGAUUCCUGUACCAGUGCUAAUUGUUUAACCGAUGGGGUGACACAGAAGGAUAGGGAAUCGCACGAAUGGAAAUGUGCGUCCAAGCAGUGAGUGUGAGAAGUAGGCAAAUCCGCUUCUCGCGAAGCAUGAGCUGUGAUGGGGAAGGAAAUUAAGUACGGAAGUUCCUGAUUUCACGCUGUCAAGAAAAGCCUCUAGGAAGAGUAGUACUGCCCGUACCGCAAACCGACACAGGUAGAUGAGGAGAGAAUCCUAAGGUGAGCGAGAGAACUCUCGUUAAGGAACUCGGCAAAAUGACCCCGUAACUUCGGGAGAAGGGGUGCUCUAUUAGGGUGCAAGCCCGAGAGAGCCGCAGUGAAUAGGCCCAGGCGACUGUUUAGCAAAAACACAGGUCUCUGCAAAACCGUAAGGUGACGUAUAGGGGCUGACGCCUGCCCGGUGCUGGAAGGUUAAGAGGAGUGCUUAGCUUCGGCGAAGGUACGAAUUGAAGCCCCAGUAAACGGCGGCCGUAACUAUAACGGUCCUAAGGUAGCGAAAUUCCUUGUCGGGUAAGUUCCGACCCGCACGAAAGGCGCAACGAUCUGGGCACUGUCUCAACGAGAGACUCGGUGAAAUUAUAGUACCUGUGAAGAUGCAGGUUACCCGCGACAGGACGGAAAGACCCCGUGGAGCUUUACUGCAACCUGAUAUGGAAUGUUUGUACCGCUUGUACAGGAUAGGUAGGAGCCGAAGAGACGUGUGCGCUAGCAUACGAGGAGGCAAUGGUGGGAUACUACCCUGGCUG